This is a long non-coding RNA of Diceros bicornis minor, 677 nucleotides long. RefSeq lists it as uncharacterized. NCBI's taxonomy places the organism in Eukaryota, Metazoa, Chordata, Mammalia, Perissodactyla, Rhinocerotidae. The transcript has 3 exons. The record is from RefSeq and is a predicted model, not a curated record.
ACUAGAAACAUAUGGUGUUUCCUCUUUGUUUUGGGACUGUGGUUACCACUCACAGUCUUGUGUUAGGUGCAGUUAGUUUUUAGACUUGUGGAUUGGGUCAUUAAGAGGCAUCUCAUUUCUCACCCUCCCAUGUGCAAGAGCCACUCUAAGCCACAAUAAAUACUUUUCCACCCAACACAGUUCUGUGAGACUCUCAGUCCUCAUGUGGGAACAUAUACUAGCUUCAUUCACAUUAACACUGUUUAUCUAAUUGAUUCUAUAACGGCACACAUCCUUUCAGGUGUUUUUAAAGCAAGACUGUGUAUUUAGAUGGUUUUUUUAUCCUUUUAUCUGCAGAAUCCAUUGAAGAGGACAUUUUUGGAGAGAUCUUUAAAAUAAAUGCAAUUGUGAUAGAAUAAAAUGAAGAACUUAACAACAUUGCUUCAAUAAUGCUCAUGCUGGGGGAAGUCAGCUGCCACAUAAGAAGUCCAACUACACUGUGACCUUCAUGCUGUGAGGAAGCCCAAGUCACAUGGAGAGGCUGCAUGGAGAGACAGAGAUUCCCAGCUAUUGCCCAGCUGUUCCAGCUAUGCCAGCCCAGGCAUCAGACAUGUUCUGUGGAUCAAGAUUUGGAAAGGGCAAGUGCAGACGGCUUGUCUCUGCUCCUGAUAUAUGCAGCCUAAGCUGGGAAGACUCAA